AUGGAGGUAGAAUUACAGUAUAUUGGGAAAAAACGUGAUUGAAAGUUGUCUGUUUUGCCAUUGAAACCUAUGGGGAUGGGUGGGGUUACACAGCUUUCUGAAACCGAACAGCAGGGGGCGCCCGACCUGUGGUGGCUUCACUUUUGAGAGACGAUGCUCUGUCCAGCUAUACACAGUCUAUGGUCCAGAUGAAAGAGUUUUUUCACUGAGUAGAAAUGUUUUAUAUUUUUCACAGACGUCCCCCUGAAAAAUCUAACACAAAUGUGAAAAAAGCGAUUUUAAAUGUGGGCGUGGCAGAACUAGGUAGAUACAUUAAAAAAAUGAACCAACUAGAACUUAUUGAAUGUUAAAAAAAAAAAAUCAAUAUUGGAACGACAAACCUCUCUCAUUGGUUGAACUCGCGAGGGCGUGAUCCCGCCCCGUGUUUGGUCCCGCCCCUCGCCGAGCCCGCCGUGCUGCGCGUGUGUGUUUGCGGAGAGGAGCGAGUGGAGACCGGAGAGCGGAGCGCGCGGGGGAAGGGGAGCGGGGCUGGAUCACCCGGGCUCGGUUUAGAUGCGGAUUACCGCUGUUUCUAGUGGCUCCACCGAGAGAUGAGAGGUAAGAAAACCAAAGCGGAUUAACCACAUACAUCUAGAGCGUCAGAGAGAGAGAGUGAUGGAUAGAGAGAGAGAACGAGAGAGAGAGAGAACGAGAGAGAUGUGUGUGUGUUUAUGUGUGUUUGUGUGUACGAAAGGCAAACGGGAUGUUUACUGGGAAGAGACACACCGACCUGUUCGUCCUGUACUGUGAUAGGAUUUCUUCAAUUUCUCUAAUUUCUCAAAUUAAUAACUGCUGCUGUCUCAUUCACAACACUCACGAGUUGGUAGUGCUUGUGGUUCCUACUGGAGAUACAAGGUUUUUGAGUGACAGCGCCAUCCAUCCAUCCAUCCAUCCAUCCAUCCAUCCAUCCAUCUAUCCAUCCAACCAUGCAUCCAUCUAUUCUUUUAGAAUUCUCUUUGAUGCUUUGGCCAUCACACCAAUUUGUUUAAAUUUGCCUGCAGCACCGCACCUUACUUACUGCAAGGUCGCACUGAUUAAUCUUAACAUGAAUAGAAUCAUGACUAUAGAUAUUACGGCACUGCUGCAGGAAGAAGGGUUUAAACUAACACAUCAACAUGCAUGAAAUCCGCACUUUUAUCAUUGUAUUAAUAUUAUAUGUUUACAUUAUUAUUGUUUUUUUUUCUUUUCAUAGUAGUGUUUUUGAGCAAAUACACACUUACAUAUUUACUAACAUCUGUUUCAGAUACUUAGUUUUAUAUUAUUUAAAUAAUAUUUUUCACCUAAAAUCUUUGCACA
RNAcentral lists this long non-coding RNA (1335 nucleotides) under Astyanax mexicanus (Mexican tetra). RNAcentral describes it as "lncRNA (ENSAMXG00005000107.1)". The record is from RNAcentral. Lineage: Eukaryota; Metazoa; Chordata; Actinopteri; Characiformes; Acestrorhamphidae.